GGGGUUGUGGCUCAGUGGAAGAGUGCUUGCCUAGUACACAUGAGGUACUGGGUUUGAUCCCCAGCACUACA
Molecule: transfer RNA, 71 nt
Filed under: Marmota monax (woodchuck)
Lineage: Eukaryota; Metazoa; Chordata; Mammalia; Rodentia; Sciuridae
Description: tRNA.Thr
Rfam family: tRNA (bases 6-66)
About the family: Transfer RNA (tRNA) molecules are approximately 80 nucleotides in length. Their secondary structure includes four short double-helical elements and three loops (D, anti-codon, and T loops).
Source: RNAcentral